ACUGAUUAUAAUGGAGACAAUCUUUUAAUCAAUACAAUUAAGGUAGAUGAAAUGCAGUCUUUAUUGAAGGAUAUGAAGAAACAAUCUAAUGUUCAGUUGGAGUAAUGACCUUCGUUUGCAUUGGACCACGGAAGUCUCGUUAUCGCCAAAAAUCUCGCAUCUUUGGAUAUUCUUUCGUUAUUAUGGUAACGGAGAUUUAUAUCGAUAAAUUCCGAGUGAUCCAAUGUUACAGUGGUUCAUCUUUAGACUCCAAUAGAUUAUUUUUUAUAAAACAUUGAAUUUUAAGAGGCAUUGUUUUAACGAUAAAAAUUAAACGAGAAUUGAUUCAACGUUUAAAACAAAACUUUAACAAUAAGUCUCGAAAGUGUAUGCUUGGAAUGUACGAAUGUAUUAGUUAAUAGUGGCACACAUUGUUUAAAGGUUUAACAAUGACGAAAUGAGACUAUGUGUUUCAAUAACAACAUUGAUGGUUCUUGAGAUGUUAUUUAUAGCGAAAUCAAAGGCAUGUUCGAAAUGUUCUUGUUUAGCCAAAAACUUUGAGUUCACUGCAUCAUAUAUCAAAACUGCCUUAGUAUCCUCCGAGUACACAGAAAAUACAACAGGGUUGAUGAAGUGUACAUGGGUUGUCAAAGCUCAGAAUAGUAGCCAUUCCGUCACAUUCAAAAUGAGUCAAGUUCUU
Molecule: long non-coding RNA, 679 nt
Organism: Mytilus trossulus (common blue mussel)
Lineage: Eukaryota; Metazoa; Mollusca; Bivalvia; Mytilida; Mytilidae
Exons: 4
Source: RefSeq, a predicted model, not a curated record